GUAGGGUGCGAGCGUUAAUCGGAAUUACUGGGCGUAAAGCGUGCGCAGGCGGCUUUGCAAGACAGAGGUGAAAUCCCCGGGCUCAACCUGGGAACUGCCUUUGUGACUGCAAGGCUAGAGUACGGCAGAGGGGGAUGGAAUUCCGCGUGUAGCAGUGAAAUGCGUAGAUAUGCGGAGGAACACCGAUGGCGAAGGCAAUCCCCUGGGCCUGUACUGACGCUCAUGCACGAAAGCGUGGGGGGAGCAAACAGGAUUAGAUACCCUGGUAGUCCACGCCCCUAAACGAUGUCAACUGGUUGUUGGACGGCUUGCUGUUCAGUAACGAAGCUAACGCGUGAAGUUGACCCGCCUGGGAGUACGGCCGCAAGGUUG
Molecule: ribosomal RNA, 372 nt
Filed under: uncultured organism
Description: partial 16S ribosomal RNA
Rfam family: Bacterial small subunit ribosomal RNA
Source: RNAcentral